UCCCUGUUGGCUUAGUUGGUAAAGAAUCUGCCUGCAAUGCAGGAGACCUGGGUUUGCUCCCUGGGUUGGGAG
RNAcentral lists this transfer RNA (72 nucleotides) under Bos taurus (domestic cattle). It matches the Rfam family "tRNA". From Rfam's summary of the family: Transfer RNA (tRNA) molecules are approximately 80 nucleotides in length. Their secondary structure includes four short double-helical elements and three loops (D, anti-codon, and T loops). The record is from Rfam by way of RNAcentral. RNAcentral also lists the same sequence under 3 other names. Lineage: Eukaryota; Metazoa; Chordata; Mammalia; Artiodactyla; Bovidae.